RNAcentral lists this ribosomal RNA (567 nucleotides) under uncultured archaeon. Its description in RNAcentral is "bacterial SSU rRNA". It matches the Rfam family "Archaeal small subunit ribosomal RNA", at positions 312 to 879 of the family's 1478-position model. The record is from RNAcentral.
CGCGAUUCGCCCUUCGGGGUGCAGCAGGCGCGAAAACUCUACAAUGCAGGCAACUGCGAUAGGGGAACAUCGAGUGGCGUCCAUAUUGGAUGUCUGUCCUCCCGCCUAAAAAGCGGGAGUUAGCAAGGGCCGGGCAAGACCGGUGCCAGCCGCCGCGGUAAUACCGGCGGCUCGAGUGGUGGCCGAUAUUAUUGAGUCUAAAGGGUCCGUAGCCGGCUUUGCAAGUCUCUCGGGAAAUCCAGCGGCUUAACCGUUGGUCGUCCGGGGGGUACUACAUUGCUUGGGACUGGGAGAGGUAGGAGGUACUCAGGGGGUAGGAGUGAAAUCCUGUAAUCCUUUGGGGACCACCGGUGGCGAAGGCGUCCUACCAGAACAGGUCCGACGGUGAGGGACGAAAGCUAGGGGCACGAACCGGAUUAGAUACCCGGGUAGUCCUAGCCGUAAACGAUGCUCGCUAGGUGUCACAACAGUCGUGAACUGUUGUGGUGCCGUAGGGAAGCCGUGAAGCGAGCCACUUGGGAAGUACGACCGCAAGGUUGAAACUUAAAGGAAUUGGCGGGGGAGCAC